GGGAGGUAGUGACAAUAAAUACCUUACAGAGGUCUCGUUAACCGAGAUCUCUCAAACGGAAUGAGUACAACGUGAAUCCUUUAACGAGGAUCGACUGGAGGGCAAGCCUGGUGCCAGCAGCCGCGGUAAUUCCAGCUCCAGUAGCGUAUAUUAAAGCUGUUGCGGUUAAAAAGCUCGUAGUUGGAUAUCAGUGCGUGUCCGGUCCGGUAUGCCUGGCGCUGUCGCUCACGCGGCAAUGCUGGGCUCCCAAAUAUCGGCUGGCCGCAUUCAAUCGUGCCGGAUCCGUCGACGGGCCGUUCUUCGGAGGGGCCUGUUGGCGACCGGCGACGUUACCUUGAACAAAUUAGAGUGCUCAAAGCAGGCUCUGAAUGCCUGUAUACAUAUUCAUGGAAUUGGAGAAUACGUCCCUGGCUCGAUUUGGUUGGUUUUGAGAGUCGAAGGGAAAUGAUUAAUAGGGACUGACGGAGGCAUUCGUAUUGCGACGCGAGGGGUGAAAUCCUGUGACCGUCGCACGACGAACUACUGCGAAAGCAUUUGCCGAGAAUGUUUUCAUUAGUCAAGAACGAAAGUUAGAGGUUCGAAGGCGAUCAGAUACCGCCCUAGUUCUAACCGUAAACGAUGUCGACCAGCAAUCCGCAACGGUCACUACACGGACUGUGCGGGCAGCUUCCCCGGGGAAACCAGAGUUUUUGGACUCCGGGGGAAGUAUGGUUGCAAAGCUGAAACUUAAAGGAAUUGACGGAAGGGCACCACCAGGAGUGGAGCUUGCGGCUUAAUUUGACUCAACACGGGACAACUCACCAGGCCCGGACACCGUAAGGAUUGACAGACUGAUAGCUCUCUCUUGAUUCAGUGGGUGGUGGUGCAUGGCCGUUCUUAGUUGGUGGAGUGAUUUGUCUGGUUUAUUCCGAUAACGAACGAGACUCUGGCCUAUUAAACUUGACGCUGUCAGUCUCUUGUGACUGCGGCGCGC
This 973-nucleotide ribosomal RNA is filed under the name Tetraclita singaporensis. Its description in RNAcentral is "SSU rRNA". It matches the Rfam family "Eukaryotic small subunit ribosomal RNA", at positions 459 to 1390 of the family's 1831-position model. Lineage: Eukaryota; Metazoa; Arthropoda; Thecostraca; Balanomorpha; Tetraclitidae. The record is from RNAcentral.